RNAcentral lists this non-coding RNA (24 nucleotides) under Arabidopsis thaliana (thale cress). Lineage: Eukaryota; Viridiplantae; Streptophyta; Magnoliopsida; Brassicales; Brassicaceae. The record is from RNAcentral.
AGAAAGGGAUGAUAGUAUUGUAGC